This 253-nucleotide ribosomal RNA is filed under the name uncultured bacterium. RNAcentral describes it as "partial 16S ribosomal RNA". It matches the Rfam family "Bacterial small subunit ribosomal RNA", at positions 524 to 776 of the family's 1533-position model. The record is from RNAcentral.
UACGGAGGGGGCGAGCGUUAUUCGGAAUUAUUGGGCGUAAAGGGCGCGUAGGCGGCCUGGUCAGUCGAAGGUGAAAUCCCCGAGCUCAACUUGGGAACUGCCUUCGAUACUGCCGGGCUUGAGUCCGGGAGGGGAGAGUGGAAUUCCCAGUGUAGCGGUGAAAUGCGUAGAUAUUGGGAGGAACACCGGUGGCGAAGGCGGCUCUCUAGACCGGUUCUGACGCUGAGGCGCGAAAGCGUGGGUAGCAAACAGG